RNAcentral lists this ribosomal RNA (460 nucleotides) under uncultured bacterium. RNAcentral describes it as "partial 16S ribosomal RNA". It matches the Rfam family "Bacterial small subunit ribosomal RNA", at positions 338 to 795 of the family's 1533-position model. The record is from RNAcentral.
CCUACGGGAGGCAGCAGUGAGGAAUAUUGGUCAAUGGACGAGAGUCUGAACCAGCCAAGUAGCGUGAAGGAAGACUGCCCUAUGGGUUGUAAACUUCUUUUAUAAGGGAAUAAAACGAGGCACGCGUGCCUUUUUGCGUGUACUUUAUGAAUAAGGAUCGGCUAACUCCGUGCCAGCAGCCGCGGUAAUCCGGAGGAUCCGAGCGUUAUCCGGAUUUAUUGGGUUUAAAGGGAGCGUAGGGGGGGUGUUAAGUCAGCUGUGAAAUUUUGCGGCUCAACCGUAAAAGUGCAAUUGAUACUGGCAGUCUUGAGUACAGUUGAGGUAGGCGGAAUUCGUGGUGUAGCGGUGAAAUGCAUAGAUAUCACGAAGAACCCCGAUUGCGAAGGCAGCUUACUAAACUGUAACUGACACUGAUGCACGAAAGUGUGGGUAUCAAACAGGAUUAGAUACCCGAGUAGUC